Molecule: long non-coding RNA, 5589 nt
Filed under: Taeniopygia guttata (zebra finch)
Lineage: Eukaryota; Metazoa; Chordata; Aves; Passeriformes; Estrildidae
Description: lncRNA (ENSTGUG00000024869.1)
Source: RNAcentral
GGUGAUCUCUGCAUCCCCAUGGAUCCCCAGGGGCUGGGGGUGGAUCUCUGCAUCCCCAUGGAUCCCAGGGGCUGGGGGUGAUCUCUGCAUCCCCGGAUCCCCACGGGCUGCAGGCACACAGCUGCUUCCCCAUGGUCAUCACCACAGUCUGCAGAGGAAUCCUUGUUCUGUUGCAUAGUUUUAUAUACUUUAUCUUUCAGUAUUGAAGUGAGACAGUAGCAUAUUUAAUAAGCCUAAACUUAGUCCCUGAUAUCUAAGGAAUCAUGGCAGGGCUGAUUAUUUCCAUGUGCAGCAUCAGUAGCAAGUUAACCUCACAAGGAAUAGGAAAAAUCCUUGUAUACUUCGUUUUACUGCUGGGACUCAGGAAUCAGGAUACUUUAAUAUUGGGUCUAACAGUGACUCUGGGUCCUCAUAAUUCAGGAUUUCAGACCUAGAUCACCAAUACUAGUGCCCUUUCUAGACAAUGUGCUGGGACAUUUUCUACCCUGAGUCAUUUUCAUCUGCAGCUGGAUGAAAUAUAGCUUAACUUCAAACAAGAGAGAGGCUGAUUUACAGCAGGCAGCAGUGCAGCUAUAUAUUUCAUAUAUAUUUUCAACACUGAGGUUUUCAUAACUAAAUGCAUGUCUUUUUCCAGGCCUUCUUGAAUGUGCAGAGUCCACAAAAAUUCAGAUCAUACAAAUUGCAGUACCAGAGAAAAUUGUUCCAGCUGCCUGCUCAUUCAUUCAUUCAUUCAUUCAUUCAUUCAUUCAUUCAUUCAUUCAUUCAUUCAACUUAGUCAUACAAAACACACAAAGAAGACUGUAUAGGUGCCAUAAGUAUCCUUAUUUUUCAAGGCUAAAUCCUGCCUGGUCUUUGACAGAGGUUUUUUGACAGUUGCUUGCACUGUACAUAAAUAAAGAAACUAGUAGUUCCUGGUUUUUCUUCUGGGCCUUUGUGGGAAUGUGUGUGCUUCACUGCCCCUGGAAGAAUGGCCACCUCCCAGUGCAUCUCAAUUUCUCUUCUUUAAGUCAUUACAAGGAUAUCUCUUCAAGGAAUUAUGUGGACACCUUAAAAAAAAAAGGGAGAAUACUCCUUCUUUAACACAUAUUAAAGAAUAUGACGAAGAAUACAAGCCAGAACGAAUGCUAAAAAAAAAAAGAAAAGAAAACCGUUUUGAGAAAAAAGCAAAAGAAAAGGAAAAAUACCUGUAACGACUGAUUUGGCCUGGCAGGGAAUCUGUAUCAUUUAUUCAAAGAAACGAGCUGGUUUUAUACAGUUCUGCAAGGCACAGUGUUUCCUUACGUGGGAAUUCUCAGUACAUGACCUGUCCCACAUUGCCAUGUCAGCCACACACACUCUACAUGUCCUUCCAUGGGGUGAUGACAUGUUGUUCACCUGUCUGUCAGUCCCUGGCAGGCUCCUCUUGUAUGUAGGUAAAGCCUUAUAAAAGGAAGGCCUUGUCAAAUCAGGCCUUGUUACUUCAGCUAAGCUAACAGCUAAUCUGGUAAAUUCCUGUGAGACAAGAAUUAUAAGAAUGAGAAUCAGUUUGCAGAAGAAUCUAUUCUUGUGAGAGGACAGCUCACACUUAUGGGGUGGAAAAUUCUACCCAUGUGAAACAUUCACUUUCCAGGAGACAAAAAUGUAAACUUAUCUAGAAAGAGAAAAGUUGGAUGGACAUGUACACUAGCCAUUGCCAACCAAUGCACUGAGUUUAAACAAAUUGCUGGCCAAUUAGAUUUAAACACAGUGCCUUCUGAUAAUGAUAUAAAUAAUGCUAAUGAGCUGUGUGAAUAAAGGUGCAGCUAUUCUGCGUGAAGAAACAAGUGUCUUGUCCAUCUCUGUUGUGACAUCCUCUCCUGCAGGGCUCUGCUGGGAUGCCUCCUUCCCCCAAGGUCAUGCAGAGACAAGCUGCCAUGUGCUUCUUGUGCUGCCUGUGAUGCUGUUUUGUGCUGCCAUGUGCUUCUUGUGCUGUCCUGUGCUGCUGUAUUUUGUUUCCACAUGCUUCUUGUGCUGCCAUGUGUUGUUCUGUGCUGCCACGUGCUCCUUUGUGCUGCCAUGUGCUUCUGCAGGCAUGUCCCACAGCCCGUGGCUCAGCUCCAUCCCAUCUCUUCCCACAAAUCCAUGUCAGAAAGAAGGGACAGCCAAGACUUGUGUAUCUGUCACUUCAGCAGCUGAAUUUCCCAUACACUUCCACGGAGAUCCCAUUAGCUCAGCAGGGAGCAAUAUAAGUGGGAAGGCAUUGGAUGUAACUGAGCUGGUGAUAAAUCCUCCUGCAGCCAGGCAUUAGUCAGACAUGUACUGAUCUAGUAACAAGUCAUGAUUACAGUUUAAUCCUGACUCGUGCUUUCAGAAUUAUGGACAAAAUUGAUCGUUUACUGUUGACUUUUACAAUUCCCCAAAGUAACAGUAUGGGAUUAUCUUUUACCAAAGGAAUUAUUCAAUUUGAGGCUGAAGCCAUAUAACUGCAGACUUUUGACACAGCUGGGAUCAUUAAUAUUGUCAGAGAGGUAUAUGUGAACAACUUCUAAACUGGGCACUAAUCACAUGCCAUGUAGUAAAUUCUUUAGCACCUUACUUAACAUGCUGAAAUCUAGGAUACCAAGUUCUAAAACUUAGCUGGCUUUCUGAUUUUCAGUUUGGAAGAAUCCUUUUUGCCCCACCUUUCCAGAUGUGAUAGGCAUUGCACAAAGGCUUCGUUCCUCUGGUGCCUGAAAAUGGAAAUGCAAUAGAAGAACAUCUCUGAUGUUCUUCACGGUGUUAGGUGUGAUGAAUUAGAGAAAGUAAUAAUUUAUAUGUGUGGUUGUUAUUAUAUCUUAAAAAAUGUGCUGCUGGUCAUUAGAGAUAAGAUUGUUUCUUUUCCUGCAUUAUCUAGACUGCAUAUUUUUGAUUCAUUGCGGUUAGGAUCUGUCAUUUUUCAUGGGUCAAUAAGACAGAAAAUUAGGGAGCCUGUUUUCUUGAAAAUUGAGAUUUAAUUGCCCAGUUGUCUCUCACAUAAAAUAUUUUUUUAAUCAAAAUUAACUUUUCUUACAAAGCUCUUGAUUUUAAUUUAUUUUAGCCAUAAAUUUAGCACUUUUUGAAAAAUAUAGGAUAAAUUAUUUCCUCUGAGUAACUUCGCAAACAUUUAAGCUUUACGAUUUAACUGAAUUUAUUUUGUACUGUAAACAAACACUAUUGUUGAAUACUUCUGUGAAUAUGUGUUUGAUUUGUACAAGGGUCACACACAGUUUAUAUGCUAAGAUCAAAAAGAUGCUUAGCACUAAACUUAUUAGUAGAAAGAAAUCUGACACUGAUACCUGUUUGGUGGAAUUACAGAAGGUGAUACUUGCUUAGUACCUGUGUAGGUAGUGAUAUAUGUUAAAUGGUUUAUAACUAGGAUUAUUACAGAUACAUAUUUAUUUUUCCAAAGCUUAAUGUGUUUUCUCUGUCAUCAUCAUGACUCUGAAGUAAUUUUCAUAAUGUAUCAAUAUAUGUAAUGCCAAAUCAUAUAUCCCUAGUGAGUAUCCAGCCUGGCCUUGAACACUUCCAGGGAUCCACAACUUCUCUGGACAACCUGUUCUAGUGCUUCAUCACUCUCAGAGUAAUGAAUUUCUUCCUAAUUCCUAAUAUAUAAACUAGACCUACUGUCUUUUAGUCUGAAUCCAUUCCCCCUUGCCACUACCCUUGUAAAAAGUCUCUCUCUGUCUUUCUUGAAGGCUCCCUUCAAGUUCUAGAAGGCCACAAUGAGGCCCAGAGCCUCUUCUCCAGGCUGAACAAACCCAGUUCUCUCAGCCUUUCCUUGUAGGAGAGGUGCUUCAUCUUCUGAUCGUUGUGGUGGCCUCCUCUGGACUCGCUCCAGCAGCCCCUUGUCAUUCCUGCUGUUAUUCCUGUUGUAUUCCUAUUAUUGCUGGCGCCCAGAGCUGGCUGUAGCACUCGAGGUACGCUUGCAGUUCCUUAGAGAGGAUGGGCUGUAAUGAGGUGGAUGCCUGAUUUAAUUUUUUAAAUGUAUUGACUGGGGCAAAGAGGGCAUGAAAUGUAUCUUCAGCUAAUAAUUCCCAUUGGUUUCAGAAGAAAAAGCACCAACGUGGAGAAGUGGUUAGGGGAUUUGCUGAUAGAUGGAGUUGGGUCAAGAAAGAAAUGCUAGUGAGUUUUUUGGGGAAAGAGUCUAGAAAUGAUAAAUCCAAGGCGUAAAAGAUGAGUGAGAAAGAGGAAUCUGAUCUGGUGUGGGCACUGAAAACGCAGACAGAAAAACCUUGAAUAGUCUGUCAGUCAGAGUUCAGCACUUGGUUAUUGUUAUAUAAAGGCAAUAAAAAUAGCUUACCAAGUCAUUCCUGCAGAAGUGCAGACAGCCUGUAAACCUGAUCAGUGUAUCCAGGAUCCCUUGUAUGAUCCCAGAAAAGAGCUUAUGAGAGGUUGGUGCUGGGGAGAGGAGGUCCAGCCACAGUGGUGCAGGAAGUGUCUUGUAUAAAUACCCAAAGCUUCCCAAUGCUGAAGGAGACAUGGGGGCCCGAGGUCACCCACCUGGGUGUCCCAGCAGCCUGGAGGAGGGAUGCCUGGCUCGUGCAGUGUGCCAUCCUCACCCAGGCUGUGCCACAUCCCCAUCACCCCAGGAGGCUGACUGAUUUCUUUGUUCCUGCUUGGCACCUGGGAGAUGACUGGCAGACCAGUUGAGAAAUCAGCUGAACUCCUCUUUCAGGUCACUUCGUCAGCAGAAUUGCACUGGCUUUAGAAAAGCAAGUCUUAAUUUAAAAUUGUGUAACUGCAAAUUGAACUGCACCCACUGCUGUGAUGAAUGUAGGUGUUUUUUUUGUUUUUUUUUUUUUUUCCAUACAGGCAUAAAAACUGGUAUUUAUCUCUAAUGGUAAGUGUACAGGCUAUCACAAUAUUUAUUUUAUUUCCAGGUGUGGUGGCUUUUCUGCUGUCACCUGAGGUAGUCCGUUUUCUGCAUGAACACACUGUGACUCCAGAUUCUGUAUUUUUGUGUUAGUCAGCAAACGUUUUUUAAGAUGUGCAUGGCAGCAAUUCUAUUGCUACAAAUGUGAAUACAUAGAGACAGCAUAAGGCAAUUUUUUAAGGUAUACAUUUAUCUUAAAAUCUCUUUGGUGAAUGCAAGCAAAGCAAAAGAUCCUUGAACCUCCCUCGUGUUGAGGUGAUCUGUAUGUUGCAUCCUUUGAGACAUUUGUCACUGUCUGGUGAAAGGACCCUCUAUAUCAAAGAAAAUACUUAUUUUCAGACAUUUUUUCGCUGCCAUAGUUUUGAAAGAUGGAAAAAAAUUGAAGUGCUUAGAAUCAUAACGUGUUAGCCUAACUGUUGAGCAAAAUAAUUUAUUCUAGUGUGAAGUAACCAGGUUUCUGAUUUUGUGUGAUGAUUUACACUCAGUAAUGUGGCUUGUUACAAAAUUGCUCUAAUGAAGAGUUGCAAAUAUCUAUCAAGGAGAAGAGAGUAAUUAGAAAUAAAAACCUAUGUAGGAAAACCUAAUGCUGUGUAUAACUAUGUAGAUCCUAGAGUGCAAAUAACCUGCACCUGGACAACCUCUCCUGAAAGUUCCACCAAGUUCAGGGGCCCAAUUAAAUGGUAGAAGGUGCCAUCAUAUUUCUGGGAAGCCAGCUGCUCUGUAGCAUUGCUCAAGGGAAC